GAGGAAAUAAAUCAUGAAAAUAAAAUAAAACUAAAGAAAUCCGAUAGAUAGAGUGUAGAAAAAUAGGAAGAAGAGAAGAAGAAGCUGGAUGUUGAUCCUAAAAUGGAAGUGUCGGCUGCUGCUCUCCUUUUUCUCCUUUUCGUUGUCUUUCCUCCUCUCUAGCAAAAUGAGGUAAGAGUGGCUUUAUAUCCCCCUAAUAGAGAGCCCUAGGUUGGCCCAAAAAUGGUGUGUCGUAGGUAAUCUCACGUGAGAAAAUUCUAUCUUCAAGCAUUUAAUGAGGGUGUGCGCAGGCUGUGUAAAUGGUUAUACUGGAUCUUGUGCGCAUUUGGCAGUCUCCAUAGGCUUCUCGUGAAGGUGCACAGGCUGUGUGGGUUGCUUGUGCAGGUUUCAACAUGUUUAGUUAGAGGUCUUCUGUGGAAGUGCAUAACCGAACUGCAUAGGCUGUGUAAGAGGUUGUGCAAGUUUCGGCAUGUCUGACAAUUUUCCGUGAAGGUGCACAACAGACCUGCACAAGCUCUGCAGCAUGUUGUGCAAGUUUCGGCAGUUUGAAAACUCCUCCUUUCACAGCUGCACAAGGUAGGCGUGAAAGUGCAUAAGCUGUGCAGUACGUUGUGCAAGUUUGCAGGUUUCAUGUUCUUCAAUUUUUAAGCUUCAUUUUGAUACUUUUAGACUUGAAAACAACUCCUCACUUGCAUAAUUACUCUUUAGUCCCUCAAAAAUACUUUUUAUCUACAAAACAAAAAGCAAAAUUAUAAAUUAGUCUAAAAAUUAAUAAUUAUGUAAAAGUAACUAAAUAACUGCUAAAAUUAACUAAAAUUAAGAAAUCAAUAAAAUGACUAUAAAAUUUAACCUAAAUGACUAUAUAAAAUGCAUGUAUCAAUGUUGCAUUAGAUUUAUUCCUGCAUGUAUUAGUAUUACUUUAUAAUGGUAGGAUUAUUUCAAUCCCUUGAAUAUAUGUGUAUGUGUCAGCUGGUAUAUGUGGACGCUAUGGUUGUUAGUAUUUGAUUCUGUGUGUCCUCCCUUUUGUCCUUCAUCUGCAUAUUUUUUGAGCU
RNAcentral lists this unclassified non-coding RNA (1052 nucleotides) under Hevea brasiliensis (rubber tree). The record is from RNAcentral. Lineage: Eukaryota; Viridiplantae; Streptophyta; Magnoliopsida; Malpighiales; Euphorbiaceae.